RNAcentral lists this ribosomal RNA (251 nucleotides) under uncultured prokaryote. Its description in RNAcentral is "partial 16S rRNA". It matches the Rfam family "Bacterial small subunit ribosomal RNA", at positions 525 to 775 of the family's 1533-position model. The record is from RNAcentral.
ACGGAAGGUCCAGGCGUUAUCCGGAUUUAUUGGGUUUAAAGGGAGCGUAGGCCGCUUGGUAAGUGGGCAGUGAAAUGCAGAGGCUCAACCUCUGACUUGCUGUUCAAACUGCCGGGCUUGAGUACGCACGAGGUAGGCGGAAUUUGUGGUGUAGCGGUGAAAUGCGUAGAUAUCACGAGGAACACCAGUGGCGAAGGCGGCUUACUGGACUGCAACUGACGCUGAAGCGCGAAAGUGCGGGUAUCAAACAG